UCUGGUUGGCUGGGACCCUGGCAGCAGACAGAGGACAGACAGUGCCCAGGACUUCUCUUGCUCUGGUGAAAGAGUCUCCUCCUGUCCAGCUCCCCCCCCACGGCCCAUCUGGUGAUGCUGCGGGCCCUGAUGUCCCAGUCAAGGCAGUGACUGGACCCUCCCGUGCACCCUCAUCCUGCAAAGGCCAUUCUGACAAGCCCUUGAGUAGAGGCGGAUGCUGCUUGCCAUGGAGGCCGAAGAUGGAUCAAAAUAGGCACAAAGUCAAAAGGCAAAGGUCAAACAAAAGGCUGGAAUCAUCACCCGAAAUGAACAAACGAAAUCUGCACCACCAACACUGGCCACAUGGAUGGGAGAGCUCUUUUCCUCUGCCUAGCUCCACCCUGGUGUUGGACAUGACAGCAAAGGGCUGAUGGAAAAUCCUUGGCAGGCUAGGGGGCACUGCUCCGGGUGGUGUCUGGGGGCCCACGGAUGUAUGUACAGGUGUCAAGGUGGGCUGCAUCAAAGAGCUGUACUCUCAGACUCUUCUUCUGAGUCCCUCUUGUCAGUCACCACGUGCCGCUGUGCAUGUUCCAGGGGGCUCAGGCGGAGCGUUGACCCCAGCUCUAUGUGGAUGGAGGGGACAUCAAAGUGGACAAGAUCUGCAGAGAGAGGAGGAGGUGAAGGGGGGCCAGUUGAAAGCAGUGUGGCCUGGUUAUAUGCUCAGACUUGCUCAUUAGAAGUUGGACACUACUGGGUGUGGCUGGGUCUGGUCUAAUGCCUGGGAGCCUGGCUAGGGGACAAGGCUGUUCCAGUCUUUCAGCCUCUGUAUCCAAGUCCUGAUAAGCAGGGUGUUCCCAGGAAGGCCUCAGUACCAUCUACGAAUCAGCCUACAGAGACAGUCACUGUCCUCACUCAGAAACUGCUGUGUGGUAGCAGCUCAGGGAGGCAGGACAGAAUCUUCCAUAGGAUGCUGGAUCCAACCCCACUGCCAUCACCUGUUUUGACUUUCACAAGGAACACUAAAAGGUCAUCCUGACAAAGGCAGGGAGGAUGAAUGUACCAGAGGUUACAAGGCUUAGUGUCCAGAUAUCUGGGAGUCAGCCAAGAGAGAACAGCUUCACAGGGCCAUCAGCUGGGCACUCGGCCUCUUGGACACGCACGCUGGAAGUGAGUGGUCCUGGAGCCUCAGGAGGGUAGAUCUGGAGGGCCCAGCCUGCUGAGGCCCUGGGCUGCAGGAGGUGAGUUGGGAUGAUGGGUUUUUGGGACCCUUCACCCCUAGUUAUAUCAUUCCCUCUGUCCACUUCACUUAGUUCUGGACGUCUGUGAGUCGUGCAACCUGAGCUGGCAACAGCAUUCUAACUGAGCACACCAACCUGGCAGGGGCUUGGCCCUAGGCCACUCAGAAGAAGCCGGCUGGCCAGAUGGCUCUUCCCCAUGAUGCUGCAAGUCCUGACCUGUGACAAGCACUUGCUAUUUGACUAGCAUUUUCACUGGCAGCCGAGAGCUGGACCCCAUCUGUGGCUGCCAUCUCAUCCAGGGAAGAACAUGACAAGUUCUAUGACGAUGCGGUGGGAGCAGAGUCCCACUGUACCCAAGGAGCCUACUGGUCUUGGCAUGUACAUGGCACAGAGUGCAUGGCGGGCCUCCGGUGCCUGUGGCGCAUUCUCCUCACUGAUGACGGCUGGGCGGUGCCACGGCUUCAACAGAGCAGGCUCAACAAGCCACGGGGAGCGAGCCAGUAAGCAGCACUCCUCCAUGGCCUGUGCAUCAGCCCCUGCCUCGAGUUCCUUUCCUGACCUCGCUGGAUGACGAAAUGUAAGCUGUGAGGUGAAAUAAAUCCUUUCCUCCCAAA
This is a long non-coding RNA of Psammomys obesus (fat sand rat), 1831 nucleotides long. RefSeq lists it as uncharacterized. NCBI's taxonomy places the organism in Eukaryota, Metazoa, Chordata, Mammalia, Rodentia, Muridae. The transcript is spliced from 3 exons. The record is from RefSeq and is a predicted model, not a curated record.